Molecule: ribosomal RNA, 1114 nt
Filed under: Lysinibacillus sphaericus
Lineage: Bacteria; Bacillati; Bacillota; Bacilli; Caryophanales; Bacillaceae
Description: bacterial SSU rRNA
Rfam family: Bacterial small subunit ribosomal RNA
Source: RNAcentral
GGGCUGCGCGUGCUAUACAUGCAGUCGAGCGAACAGAGAAGGAGCUUGCUCCUUUGACGUUAGCGGCGGACGGGUGAGUAACACGUGGGCAACCUACCCUAUAGUUUGGGAUAACUCCGGGAAACCGGGGCUAAUACCGAAUAAUCUAUUGUCCCUCAUGAGACAAUACUGAAAGACGGUUUCGGCUGUCGCUAUAGGAUGGGCCCGCGGCGCAUUAGCUAGUUGGUGAGGUAACGGCUCACCAAGGCGACGAUGCGUAGCCGACCUGAGAGGGUGAUCGGCCACACUGGGACUGAGACACGGCCCAGACUCCUACGGGAGGCAGCAGUAGGGAAUCUUCCACAAUGGGCGAAAGCCUGAUGGAGCAACGCCGCGUGAGUGAAGAAGGAUUUCGGUUCGUAAAACUCUGUUGUAAGGGAAGAACAAGUACAGUAGUAACUGGCUGUACCUUGACGGUACCUUAUUAGAAAGCCACGGCUAACUACGUGCCAGCAGCCGCGGUAAUACGUAGGUGGCAAGCGUUGUCCGGAAUUAUUGGGCGUAAAGCGCGCGCAGGUGGUUUCUUAAGUCUGAUGUGAAAGCCCACGGCUCAACCGUGGAGGGUCAUUGGAAACUGGGAGACUUGAGUGCAGAAGAGGAUAGUGGAAUUCCAAGUGUAGCGGUGAAAUGCGUAGAGAUUUGGAGGAACACCAGUGGCGAAGGCGACUAUCUGGUCUGUAACUGACACUGAGGCGCGAAAGCGUGGGGAGCAAACAGGAUUAGAUACCCUGGUAGUCCACGCCGUAAACGAUGAGUGCUAAGUGUUAGGGGGUUUCCGCCCCUUAGUGCUGCAGCUAACGCAUUAAGCACUCCGCCUGGGGAGUACGGUCGCAAGACUGAAACUCAAAGGAAUUGACGGGGGGCCCGCACAAGCGGUGGAGCAUGUGGUUUUAUUUCGAAGCAACGCGGAGAACCAUUACCAGGUCUUGACAUUCCCGUUGACCACUGUAGAGAUAUGUGUUUUCCUUCCGGGCACACGGUGAACAGUGGUGCAUGGUUGUCGUUCGUCUCGGUCGUGAGAUGUUGGGUAAGGUUCCCGCUAUCUAUCUCAACCCGUGGAUCUUUAGUUUGCCAU